RNAcentral lists this ribosomal RNA (270 nucleotides) under uncultured archaeon. Its description in RNAcentral is "partial 16S ribosomal RNA". It matches the Rfam family "Archaeal small subunit ribosomal RNA", at positions 477 to 747 of the family's 1478-position model. The record is from RNAcentral.
CAGCACCUCAAGUGGUCAGGAUGAUUAUUGGGCCUAAAGCAUCCGUAGCCGGCGCUGUAAGUUUUCGGUUAAAUCUGUACGCUCAACGUACAGGCUGCCGGGAAUACUGCAGAGCUAGGGAGUGGGAGAGGUAGACGGUACUCGGUAGGAAGGGGUAAAAUCCUUUGAUCUAUUGAUGACCACCUGUGGCGAAGGCGGUCUACCAGAACACGUCCGUCGGUGAGGGAUGAAAGCUGGGGGAGCAAACCGGAUUAGAUACCCGAGUAGUCC